This is a long non-coding RNA of Parus major (Great Tit), 3885 nucleotides long. RefSeq lists it as uncharacterized. NCBI's taxonomy places the organism in Eukaryota, Metazoa, Chordata, Aves, Passeriformes, Paridae. The record is from RefSeq and is a predicted model, not a curated record. The transcript has 3 exons.
UUAUAUGGUCAACAUAAAUAUGAAUAUAUAAUCCACUUGUGUCAGGCAAACCCAUGUGCUUGCAUCUGCUCUACCCUAUCCAAAGGCUGAAGGUUUUUUGUGCCUGCCUACUGCCUGCAGGUUACAGUGCUAAUGAGCCUGUCUUGUCUCCUCUGAACAAUCUGUGCUGGAGUUGGAAUAUAUUUCCUGUGGUUCAUCAGAAGAACUGGCAAACAAACAAAGCUGACAGAUGUAGUUCAGACUUGUGAGGAUUUCCUGUUGCAAAAGUUUGGCAUUCACUAACAUUUCCUGGCGAUGUAGAAAAGCCAGAAGAGUACUGGGUUGUUGUGAUGGUUUGCCUGAAGAUUCCUCCUGUGGAUCUAAGUAGAUGGUGAUUUGGAUUACAUGUCCUGCAAGGACUGCUAAUGAAAAGCCAUAGUGUUCUGGAGGAGGUACAGAUGGCCUCUGAAGGAUGGUUGUAUGAUGCUUCAUUCAGUGGGAUUCCGACUCAUCAUACCCAGCCUGCUACCUCAGAGACAGAAGCUGAUGUUUUAAAUAUGAUUGUGGAGCUGAGUACCUUCUGGAGCAGUCACGCUGCAUCUUGGAUGAAUACCAAAGCUGCUGAGCGCUCAGCACUGCGACAGUCUCCAAGGGAGCUAGAAAUGUAUGACCCAGGAAGACCCACAGCUCCCGAAUUCACCGGGAAGCAUAGCAGCUCUUUCAUCCCAAGCUAACGAAAACCUUUCCAUUAGAGCAGGUUUUUCCUAAUCAAAUACCUCUGUGUCAAAAGAUUGUUUGAGAAUUUGUGAUUUAUGUGUUCAAGGAGACUGAGGAAAGGGGUCUUCUGCUAAACAUUCAGUUUCUUUACCCUGACUAAUCAUUCCUUCCUCAAAUUCAUGCUUUGAUGUAAAUAAUAGAAAUUAAAUUAAUGUGGUAGAGAUAUUAUGAUUUUCAGUGUUCACUGAAUAUUACUUUUAAUGCUUGUUCCUUGGGGGGUAAGCUGUGCUCAAGACCUAAAAGUUAAGGAAAAACUAAAAAAAAAAAAGAAGGGAUUUGCCAGGCAAAUGGUUUGGAGGAGGAUAAGAAAAACUGUCGCACAACACAACUGUCACAUAUGUUUUUUCCACCACCCUCUAUCUUCUUUGGUUAUUCAGUAUGUAAGAAUAGUUUUCAUUUCCCAAAUGCUUACAGAACUUCCCUACAAGACUAGUAUCUGCAAAUGACAUUACUUUUACCCAGAGAAUAUAUGUAUGCAGGCUGGACUGGGUUAUGUUUUUUAAAGUUCUUUGCACUCUCAGCCAGUCUGUAGUUGCAAGUUGCAUUAGCAGCAUUUAUUCACUAAAUUUUGCAACAUGAAUUCUUUUCCUCAGAGUUGUUCACCAGUUGAGCUUUGCUAGGCUUGAGGAGCUUGAAGCUGGAUAUUAGGACAAGGUUCUUCAGAGGUCAGUUGGGCACUGGAGCAGGCUCCCCAGGGAAAUGAUCACAAGCCAGUCAACCCAGACUGACAAAGUUCAAGAAGAAUUUGGACAAUACUCUCAGGCACAUGCUGUGGCUCACGGGGUGUCCUGUCCAGGACCAGGAGUUGGACUCCAUGAUCUUUGUGAGUCCCUUCCAACUCAGGACGUUCUAUGAUUCUGUGAGAAAAUGUAGCACUCAAACACUGAGGCCACAGGCAGGGGAAAUGGCAGUGAUGGUGCAUGCCUUUAGAGCUUUCACCACAGGAAUACCCUAUGCAGGUGCUUUGCCAUCACUGUGAAAGCAACUGGUUUAUCUUGCACUGCCAGUGUAGGGCAGAUGGAAGAAGCAGGUAACCUCAUGAUCAUCCCAGCCAUUUCUGCAAGAAGCAUUUGACUACAGCCUGCAUAGAUCUUAUUCCAGUCAUUUACCUUCUUUUCACAUUGCUGCAGCCAGAAGACUGUUAAGUGCGUUUUUAGAGCAGGUUUGAAUUCAGUGAGGCUACUUACAUAAGCAGCUGUCGGCCAGUUUGAGCAGUAUGGCCCUUGGUUCCCAUUUCUAGGACACACCAUUCGAGACACUUGGGCCUGUUACAUCAAUAACCUCUUGGUUGCUCCUUCUCAGUCCUGGUCCUGCAGACUCUGCUGACAAGCUUCAGCACAAUCCCCACUGAAGUUUUUAUAGACUGAGGAAAUUGUGGCUUGUGAUGGAUGGUACAGAAUUCGGUUGUUUAUUUAUCUCUAGCUGAUUUUCUUGUAUCAGAGCUUUCUACUGCUCGAAAAAUGAAAGGUUAAAUGCCCUCAAGUCUUUGUCCUAGAUAGUGCUGUGUCGCUGUGUUUGAACUCAACAGAGAGCUGUAUGUGUAUGCCUUUGCAAAUGCCAUUCCUAUAAUUCUCCCUUGCAUGAUUUUUUUCUGAAAGACUCCAAAGUAAAGCUCGGUGGGAAUUUUCCCACAGUCUAUUUGUUUGUAUGCAAAAAUGCUAACUUGAUGAAAUGGAACUUUUUAGUGGAAAAUAUUUGUUCCAGUAAGAAGGCUUCUCAGAUUCAGAAAUGAAUUUAUGGAAGGAGGAAAAAAAAAAAUAAAUAAAGAGAGAAGGACAAACUUUCCGUUCUAUUCCUCAAAGUAGAUGGCUGCUUAGUGGUCAGGCAUUCCCUGGAGGAAAUGGGCAAGGGAAGUUCAAACCCCACUGAUUCAGUAUGUUAAUCUCUUUAUGGGCCAGCCAUGCAAAGCUGAACAUCAUCAGACAGGGUAAAAGGGAGUAUUCUUACUAGUUUCUGUCUUUUUAUGCCUGUUUGGCAUUUUUUUCCAGGAAGGUUCAAAUUUCAUUUUAAUGCUCAACAAAAGCACAUUUUGGAAUGACCAUUGUUUUCCAGAAUGCUAAUGUUUUGCAGAUAAUGUUACGCUAACCCAGCAGUGAUUGCCUUGCAGAUCCAUUCAUAACUUCUGUAAAGUGCAGGUGACAGAGUCACUCCGUUUGGGAUCUAUAGUGUAAAUGGAGCCCUUCUGACUCUUUGCAGGUUUUUUAGGAGACAUCUAGGGUUUGAUUCUGCAAAUUUCUAACAUAUAAGCUGUCAUAAGCUUCAGCUACUUAACUAAUGGAGCUUUUCAUACACUUGAUGCCAGCACAUUAUGAAUUGAUAACAGUUUUAUUAAAGUCAAUAGAAUGAUUUCUACUGACCUUGAAUGAAAGUUCAUUACAUUGUGUUCUUGUAUCCUCAAGUUUUGAUUUGAUGCUUGGUCUUGUCUUAUUCUACUAAUGUUCAGGUUCUACUAAAAUUAUAUUUAUAUCAGUCAUGUAUUUCUACAAUUUUAGAAAGAAGUAUCUACUUUGUCUAUUCUUUAGGGAGAGACUAGGAAUUCAGGAAACCUGGAUUCUUCUCCAACUUACCACUGACUUAGACUAUCUAUCAUUAUUUAUUAACUUCAGCAAUUAAUUUUAUGAUUCCAAUAUGCAAGGAAAUUUAAGCACUAGGAAAUAAAACAUUUGGUAAAAUAUUGCAUCACAAUACUCAUAACCUUAAUUUACUCAAUGUCAAUUUCACAAUUAGGACAUUAUAAUGCAGUUUUAAUGCACAUUUAUUAUAGUAAUGAAGACCAGAAUUACACAGAUACAACACAAAUCAUAUUUAAUCAAGAGCAAUCUCAGAUAAUAACCAACUAAGAAUUAGAAUUAUAUGGCACUGAUUUUCUAUGUAUCAUUUUUCUUCUAUCAAUAAGUAAUGCCACAGAUUGUCAUAAUAUGAAUUGUUUACAUUUGUUUUAAAACAUUCUAUAAUAUUGAUUGAUGCUUUAGGCUGAGUACUUAUUGUAUGAAUUCCAUGAAAGUUCUCCAACUAAUGAGAAAAUUAAUUUUCCAUCCAGCAUAACUUCAGUUUUCAAUUAGAUGUAAAUUCUAUUUACUAAUUCUUAUAAUGUACUAAUUUCUUCAAAAUGAAAAAAAAAACAAAAAC